RNAcentral lists this long non-coding RNA (612 nucleotides) under Dromaius novaehollandiae (emu). Its description in RNAcentral is "lncRNA (ENSDNVG00000007540.1)". The record is from RNAcentral. Lineage: Eukaryota; Metazoa; Chordata; Aves; Casuariiformes; Dromaiidae.
GCACACAGGCAUGUCUGCAAUGGCUCGUGAGACAACAAUCAAGUCCUGCCCUUUUAAUCACUCAUCCAGUCCACCUGAAUGUUUACGUAUGUGAAGAAUAAAGGUGAACUAAUAGAGACAUACAAUUUUAUCCCAUUAUCAAGAAGUAGUGCAACCAGCGGAGUGUUUGUCUGAAUACAGAAAGUCUGGAGCGGAUCCAUCUGAAAAGACAGGUAUUUAAAAUUCGAAACUAACCAGGUGGAAGUUGGAGUUCAGUGAACAGUUGCUAAAUAUCUGAACAAGGAAUCUUCAAACAGUUAAGAGAGCACCUACUGUUCACAGGACGAGAAGCAUUCCUGCUGCCAAAGGAAGGAGUUCGUGUCAGACUACAUGGACCAACAGUGACACCCAGUGGCCCAUGGGUUUGCCAUGGCGAUGCAUAUACCAAAGCUACAUUUCCCUGCCCUUUUAUCUGUUCUGGUUUCUGCAUGAAAGGCAUAGUUCUUAAGCAAGCCUGGUUUAAUAAUACUAAGCCAAACAUUUUUUCCUCUUAUUAAUUUUUUGUAAUGUUAUGAAUAGUAUGCAGCACAUGGUGUUGGCAAAUAUCAGUUUUACAUAGUUUUUAAACAGACU